Molecule: ribosomal RNA, 253 nt
Filed under: uncultured bacterium
Lineage: Bacteria
Description: partial 16S ribosomal RNA
Rfam family: Bacterial small subunit ribosomal RNA
Source: RNAcentral
UACGUAGGGUCCGAGCGUUGUCCGGAAUUACUGGGCGUAAAGAGCUCGUAGGUGGUUUGUCGCGUUGUUCGUGAAAACUCACAGCUUAACUGUGGGCGUGCGGGCGAUACGGGCAGACUGGAGUACUGCAGGGGAGACUGGAAUUCCUGGUGUAGCGGUGGAAUGCGCAGAUAUCAGGAGGAACACCGGUGGCGAAGGCGGCUAUCUGGGCUGCAACUGACGCUGAGGCGCGAAGGCUAGGGUAGCAAACAGG